This 484-nucleotide ribosomal RNA is filed under the name Acinetobacter baumannii OIFC189. RNAcentral's name for it is "bacterial SSU rRNA". It matches the Rfam family "Bacterial small subunit ribosomal RNA", at positions 30 to 507 of the family's 1533-position model. The record is from RNAcentral. Lineage: Bacteria; Pseudomonadati; Pseudomonadota; Gammaproteobacteria; Moraxellales; Moraxellaceae.
AUUGAACGCUGGCGGCAGGCUUAACACAUGCAAGUCGAGCGGGGGAAGGUAGCUUGCUACUGGACCUAGCGGCGGACGGGUGAGUAAUGCUUAGGAAUCUGCCUAUUAGUGGGGGACAACAUCUCGAAAGGGAUGCUAAUACCGCACACGUCCUACGGGAGAAAGCAGGGGAUCUUCGGACCUUGCGCUAAUAGAUGAGCCUAAGUCGGACUAGCUAGUUGGUGGGGUAAAGGCCUACCAAGGCGACGAUCUGUAGCGGGUCUGAGAGGAUGAUCCGCCACACUGGGACUGAGACACGGCCCAGACCCCUACGGGAGGCAGCAGUGGGGAAUAUUGGACAAUGGGGGGAACCCUGAUCCAGCCAUGCCGCGUGUGUGAAGAAGGCCUUAUGGUUGUAAAGCACUUUAAGCGAGGAGGAGGCUACUUAGUUAAUACCUAGAGAUAGUGGACGUUACUCGCAGAAUAAGCACCGGCUAACUCUGUG